CUGCAGGCUGCAACUCGCCUGCACGAAGUCGGAAUUGCUAGUAAUCGUAGGUCAGCAUACUACGGUGAAUACGUUCCCGGGCCUUGUACACACCGCCCGUCAAACCAUGAGAGUUGGCAACACCCGAAGUCGGUAGGCUAACCGCAAGGAGGACGCCGCCGAAGGUGGGGGUUGAUGAUUAGGGGUUAAGUCGUAACAAGGUACC
This 205-nucleotide ribosomal RNA is filed under the name uncultured bacterium. Its description in RNAcentral is "partial 16S ribosomal RNA". It matches the Rfam family "Bacterial small subunit ribosomal RNA", at positions 1298 to 1500 of the family's 1533-position model. The record is from RNAcentral.